UGGGGAAUUUUGGACAAUGGGCGAAAGCCUGAUCCAGCAAUGCCGCGUGUGUGAAGAAGGCCUUCGGGUUGUAAAGCACUUUUGUCCGGAAAGAAAUCCUUGGCUCUAAUACAGUCGGGGGAUGACGGUACCGGAAGAAUAAGCACCGGCUAACUACGUGCCAGCAGCCGCGGUAAUACGUAGGGUGCAAGCGUUAAUCGGAAUUACUGGGCGUAAAGCGUGCGCAGGCGGUUUGCUAAGACCGAUGUGAAAUCCCCGGGCUCAACCUGGGAACUGCAUUGGUGACUGGCAGGCUAGAGUAUGGCAGAGGGGGGUAGAAUUCCACGUGUAGCAGUGAAAUGCGUAGAGAUGUGGAGGAAUACCGAUGGCGAAGGCAGCCCCCUGGGCCAAAUACUGACGCUCAUGCACGAAAGCGUGGGGAGCAAACAGGAUUAGAUACCCUGGUAGUCCACGCCCUAAACGAUGUCAACUAGUUGUUGGGGAUUCAUUUCCUUAGUAACGUAGCUAACGCGUGAAGUUGACCGCCUGGGGAGUACGGUCGCAAGAUUAAAACUUAAAGGAAUUGAC
Molecule: ribosomal RNA, 567 nt
Filed under: uncultured bacterium
Lineage: Bacteria
Description: partial 16S ribosomal RNA
Rfam family: Bacterial small subunit ribosomal RNA
Source: RNAcentral